Molecule: non-coding RNA, 133 nt
Organism: Arachis ipaensis
Lineage: Eukaryota; Viridiplantae; Streptophyta; Magnoliopsida; Fabales; Fabaceae
Source: RefSeq, a predicted model, not a curated record
ACAGAAACAACUGAUAGUGACAAUUCUACCUCUGAGUCUGAGACUCAAGAAGACUCAGAGGAUUCACCAAGAAAACAACCCAGCAAAAAAGCAAAAAAAAGCGAAGAAUCAUCACCAGUAAAGAAGCAAAAAA